AGCGAAAAAUAUAUAAGCAAUAGUAGUUAAUAGAAAUAUUGGAGUUAUAAAGUGAGAACUUAGGGCUUGAUUACUCGUGACCAAAAAAAACCCUACCUCUUCUUUCUCUUCCGACGCCGUUCUCUGCUCGAACGAAAACACAAAAGAGGGCUUAGGGCUUCACUCCGGCGGCCGGCCAAGGCAAGGUUCUAUGGAUUCUUCACACCGCCGAGCUUCUCACGACGAGGAGAAAUCUGGAGCACGAGAAGGAGCCGCGAUUUCGAGUCUUCCGAUCAGAGCUCCGAGACCUAGAAGUCCUCCUUGCGUUCGGUUGUAAGUCCAAGAACGCUAGAUAUAGGAAAGAAAAAGAUAUAGCAAGGAAGGCGACAAGGUGGCGCGGAUGGUGUGUGAUGUUUGGACUAUAGAGUAGAUUAAGAGAUUGAACCUGAAUUUAUUUAGAAUGUUUUGGUUUAAGUGUUUAACGUAUUUAGAACUUGUGCAUGUUAUUAUUUGGUUUGUUUUGUCGUGUAUUCGUUAGAGUUGAUCUUUCCUUGGUA
Zingiber officinale is the source of this 536-nucleotide long non-coding RNA. RefSeq lists it as uncharacterized. The transcript is spliced from 2 exons. Lineage: Eukaryota; Viridiplantae; Streptophyta; Magnoliopsida; Zingiberales; Zingiberaceae. The record is from RefSeq and is a predicted model, not a curated record.